Molecule: long non-coding RNA, 1891 nt
Organism: Amphiprion ocellaris (clown anemonefish)
Lineage: Eukaryota; Metazoa; Chordata; Actinopteri; Pomacentridae
Source: Ensembl
GUGAGCUCCGAACUUGAGUGGGAGGAAUAGUUGCAGCCAGAGUUUCUUGAUCCAAAUGCAGCGAGAACAGCACUGAGGCAUGAAGACACAGAGCUGCAGCCGUGGAAGACGUCCAGCGGACAAACCGACUGUGAGGCCAUUGAGGAGACAAUCCAUUACGCCUCUCUGGGCCGACAGAACUGGAGGGAAAGACCCGGCAGGACUCCAGCAGAUCAGAGUGUGAUCUACUCGUCCGUCAUCACCAGACCUGCUGCCAGAUAGAAACUCAAAAAUCCAUGUCUUUAAACUGUUUUUACCCCAUAUGCAUUGUCUCUUUGUCUCAGAACAAACCAUCUUAGAUCAUCAGGGGUCUUCUGCUGGACCAUAUAUAGAUAUUUUAUUAAUCCCGAGGGAGAUUCAUCUCUGAUUUACCCACAAGUCUAUCUUAUAUAUCAACAUAUGUUUAGAAAAAUUGCCCGUUGACCCCAAAAAUGUUCCAAAACUAUGUCUGAAAUCAUCACAGGCUUUCUGCUUGUCAUCUCAUAUCCAUUAAACUUUUUAAAUCAUAAAAUAUAUAAAAUACUUUGCAAGACGAUUAAAAAAAAUAGUCCCAAAAAAUGUGCUAAAACAAUUUUAACACAUUUUCAAAAAACUUUUACCUUGACAUGUUUGAUAUCUUGAGCUAAAAUUUGUUGUUUUUAUUAAUAUCCAUAUUUCAUGAUAUAAGAAAAUGAGAAAAAUCAGAGAUGGUCAAGAAAAGAGUGUUGGUUUCAGAUGGAUUUACUAUUAAAGUGUGAAUUUUUAUUGUUCUAGUUUAAUGAACGUGUAAACCUGCCAGGAGCCCCAAACACAUGUAAAACGACAGGUUUCCAGAGAUGAACACAUUUUUAGUGAUUAUAAAUCAAUAUAUUUUCACAAAACACUUCAAAGUUGUAAAGUUAAAUAUAGUUUCAGCCCUAAAACUAUGAAACUCAGACUGUAAUAGUCUAUACAUGUAAAACGGCUUCAUCUCUAGUUUUUGUCUUUUUAUGAAUUUGAAAGUUUUCAAAGCUCCACAUUUCAAUAUUAAUAUAAAUAAACAUGAAUUUGGUGUAUACACAGAUGAGUGAUUUAAAAAAUCUAAAGCAUAAUUUCCAAACUCCAUUUUCUGACUAUUGGUUUCUGUAUAAAUGAUUUCAUGGAACAUGUUUUUAUCCUUUCAUUCUGCAGAUUGUUUCGUUCACAGCUAGAAAAUGUCAUCCAGUUUCCUCUAAAUGUCCGUCAACAGCAGAGUGAACUUUCAGGUUUUUGCUACUUUUGACAUUUGAAUGAAAUCAACUUAAGUCUUUAUUUCCCUUUAUUUAUCUGCACUAGUCUUUAUUUCCCUUUAUCUGCACUAAAGUCCUUAUUUCCCAUUAUUUAUCUACACGUCUUUAUUUCCCUUUAUCUGCACUAAAGUCCUUAUUUCCCAUUAUUUAUCUACACGUCUUUAUUUCCCUUUAUCUGCACUAAAGUCUUUAUUUCCCAUUAUUUAUCUGCACUAAAGUCUUUAUUUCCUAUUAUUUAUCUACACGUCUUUAUUUCCCUUUAUCUGUACAGACUUUUAGGGAUUGUAAUGUUGAGUCUCCUUUUCCCUCAUGUGCCAAAGAGCUUUAGCAAAUUAAUAUCUGAGGAAGUAAAAGUGAAAGAAAAUGACAAAGCUGAUCAUUCUGACCAGGUCACACCCUGAAAAUGAUCAGAUCCAAUAAGUUAACUUGUGUAAAUGUGCAGAGAAAUAAUAAAGUCAGAAAACAUACCUUUGUCUGAGGAAGCCGGAUGGUGUCGCUUCACACAGGAAACACCUGGAAAAAUGUAAAAAUAACACAAAUUUAAAUGUCCACAUGACAAAAAACAUAAACUCAGUCAAAGCAGGUUUAGGUUUGAGCCAUGAACC